UGCUCCAACCCUAAAAUUUGAAAACCAAGGAUGUUUAAUUACUUUAAUACACGAGUAGCAUUAAAACCUGAAGUGACUUAAAAAAUGAUACCCAUAUCCAUCUAAAAUCAAAUUUGACUGACGACUAAAAAUAAUAUCAAUAUUACUCAAUCUGUUGAAAAAUGGUUAUUUCAUAAAAAAUUGAAGUCUAAUGACUACUAGGUAAUAAGCAGGUCAAACUAAUAAAAAAAAGACUACAAUUAACAAUUAAUGUCAGCUAAGUAUUUACAUGAAUAGCAAUUGAAAAUGGUUUAGGACUUGACCACAAAAAAACCUAACCUUGAUCACUGAUCAACAAAAUGAGGUCAAAGUCAUACGAUCUCUGCCAGACUGACGAGUAGACCUGACCUUGCGAUGAUUCUUUAUACAAAAUAUACUUGUCAUAUCACUUUAAUAAAUAAGAUAAGUGCACAUGCUGAAACGUCUCACUGAUCCAUUUAAUGAGGUCAAUGUCAGUCGAACACUGUCUGAUGUUGCAAGGAACUAAUAUACCAAAUAUAGUUAUCCUUUUACCCAUAAUAAGUGAGAAAUUCACAUGAGAAAAUAACUGAUAUUUUUUCAAGCAGUCGCUGAACCAUGAAAAUUAGGUCAAGGACAAUGGACAGACGGAAACUUCGUAACAAAUGGUAUCUGUAUACUAGGUAUGAGGCAUCCAAGUCUUUUACCUUCUGAAAAAUAAAGCUUUAUACAAAUAAUUUACAUUGCCUCCACCACUGCAGCCCUUAUUAAUCCCUCUGUCUUACAUACUGCGACUUUUGUCGCAGUCGAAACAAAAAUCAGGCGAUAUAAAACUAAAUAGAUAUAAAAGUAAGAAGAUAAGAAGUUGUAUUAUUGCCAAUGAGACAACUCUCCAACAGAGACCAAAUAAAGUAGUUGACAACUAUAGGUCAACAUAUGGCCUUCAACAAUAAGCAAAACCCAAUCGGUAUAGUAAGCUAUAAAAGGUCAAGAGACACUUAAAAACAUGAUAUUUUUUAUUUGAUAAAAAAAACCUUACAACAAUAAAAACAAUCGAAAUGAAAUCAAUGCAUAAUUCAUAAAUUGCAGUGUUAACAAAUACAAUAAAUUAAAUACAUACAAUCAAAUUGGUUUUAACAUUUAUUUUUUAUGCCCCCGCCGUAGCGGUGGGGGCAUUAAGUUUACCCUUGUCCGUCCGUACGUCCCAAAAUUGGUUUCCGUUCUCUAACUUGAGUUUGCCUCAACCAAAUGUUAUGAAACUUAUACACAAUGCUUAUUUUCACAAAACACAGAUCAAGUUUGAAUUUUGGUGGCAUCACUUUAACCGAUCUAGAGUAUUGCCCCUUUAUAAAUGGAAAAAUUGCAAAAUUUUUAGUUUCCGUUCUCUAACUUAAGUUUGCCUCAACCAAAUGUUAUGAAACUUAUACACAAGGCUUAUUACCUACAAAACACAGAUCAAGUAUGAAUUUUGGUGGCGUCACUUUAACCGUUCUAGAGUUAUGCCCCUUUAUAAAUGGAAAAAUUGCAAAAUUUUAGUUUCCGUCCUCUAACUUAAGUUUGCCUCAACCAAAUGUUAUGAAACUUAUACACAAUGCUUAUUACCACAAAAAACAGAUCAAGUUUGAAUUUUGGUGGCUUCACUUUAACUGUUCUAGAGUUAUGCCCCUUUAUAAAUGGAAAAAAUUGCAAAAUGUUUAUUUUCUUCUAAAUAUCAAGUUAUUUUUAAAAUUGGAGUUAUCUUCCUUUGUCCAUGAUUAUAGUUGAAUCAACUACAAUGAAUGCUUUAUACAAUGCAAUGUUUAAUUUUGACUUCCACUGAUAAAACACAGAUCAAUUGAAUUUGGGUAGUGUCACUUUAACCAUUAUUGAGUUAUGCCCCUUUAUAAAUCGAAAGAUUGCAAAAUUUUUAGUUUCCAUUCUGUAACUUAAGUUUCCCCCAACCAACAUUAUGAAACCUAUACACAAUAUUCAUUACCACAAAGCUAAGAUCAAGUACAAAUUUUUUGUUUCCCUUUUCUAACUUUAGUUUGCCUCAACCAAAUGUUAUGAAACUUAUACACAAUGCUUAUUACUACAUAAUACAAAUUAAGUACGAAAUUUGGUGGGGACACUUUUACCAUUCUUGAGUUAUGUCCCUUCAUAAACAUAAAAAUUGCUGAAUUUUUUAGUUUUUGUUCUCUAACUCUAGUUUGUCUCAACCAAAUGUUAUAAAACUUAUACACAACCGUUCUAGAGUUAUGUCUGUUUACAAAUAGAAAAAAUGCAGAAUUUUUAGUUUCUGUUCUCUACUUAAGUUAGCCUCAACCAAAUGUAAUGAGACUUACACACAAUGCUUAUUACCACAAAACUCAGAUCAAGUUCAAAUUUGGGUAGCGUCACUUUUACCGUUCUUCAGUUAUGUCCCUUUAUAACUAUAUGAUAUGCAAGCGGGGGCAUUAUAUGUGUCCACAUGUGGACACUAUCCACAUUUUUUUAUAUUUCUUUAUAUUUUUUAGUGUUUACAAAUAUAUUUUAGUACAUUUUAUUAGAUUAUUGCUUUUUACAUAUUCAUGCAUAUGUGCAAUAUUCAGCUGUGUGCUUUUCAUUAUAUACUGCAUUAUAAAUAAAUAGCAGUCAUACAUA
Mytilus californianus (California mussel) is the source of this 2619-nucleotide long non-coding RNA. RefSeq lists it as uncharacterized. Lineage: Eukaryota; Metazoa; Mollusca; Bivalvia; Mytilida; Mytilidae. The record is from RefSeq and is a predicted model, not a curated record. The transcript has 2 exons.